AAGCCCUUCGGGGUGUAAAGCUCUUUCGGCAGGGACGAUAGUGACGGUACCUGCAGAAGAAGCUGCGGCUAACUACGUGCCAGCAGCCGCGGUAAUACGUAGGCAGCGAGCGUUGUCCGGAAUUAUUGGGCGUAAAGCGCGCGCAGGUGGUUUCUUAAGUCUGAUGUGAAAGCCCACGGCUCAACCGUGGAGGGUCAUUGGAAACUGGGGAACUUGAGUGCAGAAGAGGAAAGUGGAAUUCCACGUGUAGCGGUGAAAUGCGUAGAUAUUGGGAGGAACACCAGUGGCGAAGGCGGCUCACUGGACCGGAACUGACGCUGAGGCGCGAAAGCGUGGGGAGCAAACGGGAUUAGAUACCCCGGUAGUCCACGCCGUAAACGAUGUCGACUAGAUCGCAGCGGCUCUGACGCCGUUGCGGUCGAAGCAAAAGUGCUAAGUCGACCGCCUGGGAAGUACGGUCGCAAGGCUAAAACUCAAAGGAAUUGACGGGGGCUCACACAAGCGGUGGAGCAUGUGGUUCAAUUCGAAGCAACGCGCAGAACCUUACCUGGGCUUGACAUGCUAGGAUUAUCCCCGUGAAAGCGGGGUAGGCCCUUCGGGGUACAACUAGUACAGGUGCUGCAUGGCUGUCGUCAGCUCGUGUCGUGAGAUGUCGGGUUAAGUCCCUUAACGAGCGAAACCUUUGCCCUUAGUUACCAGCGG
RNAcentral lists this ribosomal RNA (702 nucleotides) under uncultured Geobacillus sp. RNAcentral's name for it is "bacterial SSU rRNA". It matches the Rfam family "Bacterial small subunit ribosomal RNA", at positions 411 to 1124 of the family's 1533-position model. The record is from RNAcentral. Lineage: Bacteria; Bacillati; Bacillota; Bacilli; Caryophanales; Anoxybacillaceae.